This 483-nucleotide ribosomal RNA is filed under the name uncultured bacterium. RNAcentral describes it as "partial 16S ribosomal RNA". It matches the Rfam family "Bacterial small subunit ribosomal RNA", at positions 30 to 506 of the family's 1533-position model. The record is from RNAcentral.
AUUGUACGCUGGCGGCAGGCCUAACACAUGCAAGUCGAGCGGAUGAAGGGAGCUUGCUCCUGGAUUCAGCGGCGGACGGGUGAGUAAUGCCUAGGAAUCUGCCUGGUAGUGGGGGAUAACGUCCGGAAACGGGCGCUAAUACCGCAUACGUCCUGAGGGAGAAAGUGGGGGAUCUUCGGACCUCACGCUAUCAGAUGAGCCUAGGUCGGAUUAGCUAGUUGGUGGGGUAAAGGCCUACCAAGGCGACGAUCCGUAACUGGUCUGAGAGGAUGAUCAGUCACACUGGAACUGAGACACGGUCCAGACUCCUACGGGAGGCAGCAGUGGGGAAUAUUGGACAAUGGGCGAAAGCCUGAUCCAGCCAUGCCGCGUGUGUGAAGAAGGUCUUCGGAUUGUAAAGCACUUUAAGUUGGGAGGAAGGGCAGUAAGUUAAUACCUUGCUGUUUUGACGUUACCAACAGAAUAAGCACCGGCUAACUUCGU